Molecule: long non-coding RNA, 1262 nt
Organism: Oreochromis aureus
Lineage: Eukaryota; Metazoa; Chordata; Actinopteri; Cichliformes; Cichlidae
Source: Ensembl
CAGAGGUGCAAAUUUGAUUAGGAGGUUUAUAAAUUAGGGUUGACACAUUGUUGUAAGGUGUUAGGCUGAAUCUGAGUAUGGUAAAGUGCUUAACCGGGGUUAUUGUUGUGUACGAAAUGGUGUAGCUUUUGGCGAGGUUUUCGGUGCCUUAAAGGAGGGGUAGAUUGUUCAGGGGUGCAAAUUUGAUUAGGAGGUUUAUAAAUUAGUGUUGACACAUUGUGGUAAGGUGUUAGGCUGAAUCUGAGUAUGGUAAAGUGCUUAACCGGGGUUAUUGUUGUGUACGAAACGGUGUAGCUUUUGGCGAGGUUUUCGGUGUGUUGAAUGGGUGAAAUUUAAGAUGGUUUAAGAUUUUUGGGGCUGUUGUUUUCAUUUUAAUAGAGGGAGUUUUGAUAAACAUGGACAUGUCUAAAAGGGCCCAUAGUUUUUAUAACAGUGCACUUAGAAAAAACCUGUCAGGUGAUUUUGUUUUGUACUUUGAUGAGCUAACAAUCAGCUCUCUUUUUUCUCAUUUUGCUCUAAGCAGGCCUGGAAGAGAGUGAACUGACGGCGCGGACAAAUUACCAAGUAAGGAUUGCAGCGAGUCAAUCCAGUCAAAAGUAUAGAGAACUAUUUUCCUAAAAAGGAAAAACGAAAUAAAACAAAUGAUUGAGCUCAUUUUGCUGAUGUGGAGCAUCUGAUCACGUGCGCAGAAGGCUGCAGAUCAGCAAAAAUAUCAUGUGUGAAUGCAUGGGAGUGAAUGUGAGUGAUGGGACCAAGAGGGGAAAUAAAUAAAAGGUUGACAAACAGGACAAGUGGGAGACUUAAAUCUGGGGAUGCUGAUUUUGGGAUAUUGAUGUGUGCGUUGAGAAAAUUAUUUAUUGGGGUUGGAUUAUGUUAUUACAUUAUAGGAUGUUAAAUGCUAAAAGGGAAACAUUGAUGUAACUUAAGUUACCAUGAACGGAGGGGACACAUGAUUAAUAACUGUUCUGUGUAAGUUUAUUUUGUGUUAUAACACAGGUUGGAUCAUCAGUGGAGAAAGUGAGUAUAAAAGGUGAUGUUCUGGUUAACACACAGGCUUUUGUUUAUAGGACGUUUCAAGGAUGCAGGCUGUGGAUGGAGCCAAGAAAAGAUUUGACAUGAUGAUUAAUUUGAUUUCAUUCCUUAAAAACAGGUUUGAAGGUCCGGAGCAUGUAGACUUAAUAUGAUAUGACUAACCUUUUUAAUGCCCUAACCUGAGUGAAGGAUUUUGAGUUUGUAACACAUGAGAUGUGUCACAAAAAGGG